This is a non-coding RNA of Pelodiscus sinensis (Chinese soft-shelled turtle), 734 nucleotides long. NCBI's taxonomy places the organism in Eukaryota, Metazoa, Chordata, Testudines, Trionychidae. The record is from RefSeq and is a predicted model, not a curated record.
CAAACAACAGGGAAACAUCCACCGGAGCAGCAGUGCCCAGCAGAGAGGAGCAGCCCAACGCCCCCUCUUUUCCCUCGCUGCCGCCUGCGGUCACCUCAGUCCCUUGUAAAUGACACCCGCUGAAAUCCCCCCUCAGCUCCCUCCCAAGCAGCCAGCCCCCUACUGAAAUGCUAAUCGCGACUAACCCCUCCCCCCCUCCACACGCACAUUUUCUUGUUUCUCUUCCCCCCUCCCUGACUUUGAAGACCAGAUGCUCCAGGAGGUGGUUUUUGCUUGUUGCCGCUUGAAAAUCUCUUGGAGUUUGCUUUGCUUAAGGUUUUCUUGCAAGUGGACUUUUCUUCCCGGCUUUCUUUGAGGCUGAAGGGGGGGCGGGGGGAGAGCUACUUGCUUGUGGAUUUCAAAGCAGCUGUUGCAGAGCUGUUCGUCGUGUUCCUGCCUUUCCCUUUCUGUGAGGAAGCGAGAGGGGAUAAUGUGAGAGAAGAGGAGGGAAGCAGGAGCUGUGGUGCAUGCACAAUAUGUAUCCAGCCAGCCUGACUUUUCAAUGGCUCAGUUCCCCGGGCGUGAUGGUUUGACCAAAACAGAACACUGCAUACAAGCAUCUGAAACUUCAUACCACAUCUCAGCCAGUGACACCAUCUUUCCAGAAAGCCGUAGGGUAAGCAGUUUUUCAGAGUGACUCUGAAUGCAGUUGAAAGCUUUGGUAAGAUCUAUAAAGCAUAAGACUAAUCUUCUCU